This 475-nucleotide ribosomal RNA is filed under the name Clostridiales bacterium canine oral taxon 225. RNAcentral describes it as "bacterial SSU rRNA". It matches the Rfam family "Bacterial small subunit ribosomal RNA", at positions 9 to 493 of the family's 1533-position model. Lineage: Bacteria; Bacillati; Bacillota; Clostridia; Eubacteriales. The record is from RNAcentral.
GAGUUUGAUCAUGGCUCAGGAUAAACGCUGGCGGCGUACAUAAGACAUGCAAGUCGAACGGGAGAAGCUUUAUAGAUUUAUCUUUGAAGUGGACACCGUGGCGGACGGGUGAGUAACACGUAAGCAACCUACCUGUGAGAGGGGGAUAACAGUGAGAAAUUACUGAUAAUACCGCAUAAGCUGACAGUACCGCAUGGUACAGUUAGAAAAGAUUUAUCGCUCAUAGAUGGGCUUGCGUCUGAUUAGCUAGUUGGUGAGAUAACAGCUCACCAAGGCGACGAUCAGUAGCCGGAUUGAGAGGUUGAACGGCCACAUUGGGACUGAGACACGGCCCAGACUCCUACGGGAGGCAGCAGUCGGGAAUAUUGCACAAUGGAGGAAACUCUGAUGCAGUGACGCCGCGUAUAGGAAGAAGGUCUUAGGAUUGUAAGCUAUUGUCGUGCGCGAAGAAAAUGACCAGCGCAGGAGGAGCCCG